Long non-coding RNA from Cyprinus carpio (common carp), 1894 nucleotides. RefSeq lists it as uncharacterized. The record is from RefSeq and is a predicted model, not a curated record. NCBI's taxonomy places the organism in Eukaryota, Metazoa, Chordata, Actinopteri, Cypriniformes, Cyprinidae.
AUCAUUUUGCACUUUACUAAGUGCUCGUCUCCCAAAUAUCUCUCCCGCUGCAGACCUCACUGAACCACAUCUUUGCCACAUGAACUUUUAGUGUACACUACCAUUCAGAGGUUCUGGGUCUAUUUAAAAUAGAAAUAAAUUACAUUUUACUAUAUUCACACAAAAAACAGCUAUUCAAAAAAUUCAGCUUAGAUCACAGCGAUCAAUUAAAUUUUAACAUAACACACACAUAACACAUCUCAUAACCGUGCACUAUAUGUGAUGCAAUAAAUCAUCCUAUGUGUGAAAUAAUACGAACAGCAGCUAUGCUAAUUUUUCUCCUUUUGGUUUCCGGUUUCUGUCUCGGGAUGUCCAUCCCAGGGUUACUAGAGAUUACGCCAGUUCCAGUUUGGAUCCAGCCUCACUUGUGAAGACUUCAGAAAAUGACACACAAUCACAAUGACUUCAGAUGAUGACAACUAUAGAUGAACAUACAAAGCUGCCAAAUAUUAUCCUUAUAUUGUAAUCAUUUCACUAAAAGCUUUUCUGGGAUCCCAGUUGAAGACAUCAGAACAUGAGAUGUUGGCCUGGACAGCUGUACCUACAGUACACCACAUCAAAGUCCUUUUAGGCAAGUCGUGCCACUCGGCCGCCAUCUUGGCAACGCCUCCGGGCAGCUAUUUUGGACUAACAAGACCAGGCUCCUAUCUAAAUGAAUGGGCAGAGAGUCAGAAUUGCACUUUCACUGGUCACCGGUACAUAAAAACUGCAUGUAUAGAAACAGCAGUAAAAUAUGAUAGAAAUUGCUGAAAAAGUUUGAUGACUUUGCCCCAAAAUAAGGUUUAAAACGCCUUUUUCCCCCACAGGUUAUACUUUUACUAUGCAUGCGCAAGGGUUCACGACACCAACUUCAUUUACGUCUCUAUCCAGAAUGCCGGUGUUGUGCCAAGCACUUAAACAAAUGCUCAAUGUCAUUUGUUUUAUCAGUAUACAGUACAAUAUUUUGAAUUAUUUUCUUGUGUCUUGUUCUUCUUGUCUCACUUUUUCUUUGCUUUGUCUACCCCUGAUAUGGACAGAAUUUUUUGUAAUCUCAUUGUAUAACGUUAUGUGUUCUGUAAAACAAAAUUAUUUUUUAAAAACCCUUGAAGAAAUGCUGUGCUUAUUGACGUUAGGGAUACAGUCAGCAUAUAACCAUAGACAAUUCAUAUAACGUUACCAUCUAUAUUUACACAAUGCACACAUACACUGCAUAUCAAAUCUGCCGCCUUUUCAAACAGUAACGUAUUUUGGCGGACAAAAAUAACGUUAGCAUCAAGACAGAGAUUUGUACAUUUCUAAAGUUACUCCAUAACUUUAAAGUAAAAUAUAAGUACAUAUGCCACGUUUAUGUGCCUUCUAUGGGUGCAAUAACAGAGUGGGAUGUGGGAGAUCCUUUUUCGCCUUCCCAAAGGAGAAUAAAAGGUAACGUCUUAAAUAUUUUUACCAUUAACGUUAGACCCCGGUAACGUUAGCUUGCUUACUAUUAUAUCUUGCUGUCGCCAAAUCGUCUCCGCUGUCGCAAAACCUCAACUGUGCGCAUGCGUCAGUGGAACCAGACGAUAGGCUUAAAUGUUUCCCGGCUUGAUUGUUAAAAGGAGAUGAUUGGCUUUCCAGCGGGAGGGGCGGGACAUGUGCAUACAACUGCUAUCUUUGCCGUUAUGGGUUUUCCUUAUAUAGUUGUAUUGAGGAUUGAGGAAGUGGCAUGUCUCUUACAAAAUUGUCUCUGAUCACACUGACCUCUGCUUUUGCAUUGAUAGCUGACUACUACCUUUUUCUAUGAAGGUAUUAUAGCAAAACUGAGCACCUGUGACAGUGGAAUUUGCUGUUGUAAAGAAUAGUCACACAUGCGUAUCAGUAAACUGAAGUCACAAAAGUU